GACACCUGUUGUACUCUUCCAUGUACCAUCUUCUGGAAAACCCCCUUCCACCUACCACCACGCAACUCCAUUGUUCCCUUCACCUACCUUUCAUCCUCUCUCAUCUUCCUCACCCAAUUUCUGAAAUCAUCACCAUCUCCCACUCACUAUUACUGACCCAAUUUCUGAAAUAAUCUAUACAAAUCACAAAUAAAAUAGCCAUUAGAAAGUUGGUAAGAUGUAAAAUCCAGAGAAGAACUUCAGUUUCAUGAGGUAGAUGAGGUAGGCGGUGGAUGCAUGAUUUAUCUAGAGUAGAGAGAAAGAGGUCGAUGAAGAUAAAAAUUGACUACCUGAUGUUGUUGGAGGAAGUUUAACAACAACAUAUGGGCUCAACUCAUCAAGGGAGAGGAAUGAAUCAAUUCUCGGCAUCAAAGUUGUCCCGGUAUUAUACCACUGACAAUCAAUGAUGUUUUCAGAAUUAUAAUUUAUGCAGAUGCUAGAUUACAGUGUUUCAGAAGAUAAUAAUUAGGGUUUGGUUUCAAUCAAGAUUCAGACUUAGCCGACAAUAUUAAUUAGUCUGUCAACAAUACUUUUGGUUUCAAUGAAGAAGAAAACAAAUUACCUGAUGAGGAAGACAUGGUAGAUAACAGUUAUGGAGAGCCUUGAACGUUGUAUUUGCAGACUGCAGUUCUCUCGUUUCUCUUGAUUUUUUUUUCUCAAUAUGGAUUUAAUGAAUUGUAAUUAUUAAUAUUUUAUAUAUUAAGUAUUUAUUUGGUAUUUGGGGUGUAUAAAAAUUGUAUAGUGGUAAUUUGUGGCUGUUUCUCGGCGAAAUUAUAAAGAGGAGCGGUUUUCAGGUUUAA
Molecule: long non-coding RNA, 839 nt
Organism: Spinacia oleracea (spinach)
Lineage: Eukaryota; Viridiplantae; Streptophyta; Magnoliopsida; Caryophyllales; Amaranthaceae
Exons: 4
Source: RefSeq, a predicted model, not a curated record